This 864-nucleotide ribosomal RNA is filed under the name Halicephalobus sp. CFB113. Its description in RNAcentral is "SSU rRNA". It matches the Rfam family "Eukaryotic small subunit ribosomal RNA", at positions 63 to 933 of the family's 1831-position model. Lineage: Eukaryota; Metazoa; Nematoda; Chromadorea; Rhabditida; Panagrolaimidae. The record is from RNAcentral.
GUUUUAAUAAAUUAAUACCCCCCUGCUUGUAUGUAGUACAUGNNGACUACAAGACCGCCGCGCAGAUGCUCAUUACAACAGAUAAAGAUGUAGGCGGUUAUCUUCAGAUAAGGAUAUAUCUGCGGUAAUAUGUGGAGCUAACACACGCAAGAAUUGUUAUAUUGUUAUCCUAUAUAGUAGCAGUUAGUAGAACACCACCGGUGGGCUCGCCCAUAUAUGUUUACUGUAGAUAAUUCACCAUCCCUAUUCAUUUUAGUGGGAUGCCGGAUUUGUAUUUGCCCUAUCAACUAUAUAACCGUGUAUUGAACGGUUAUGGUGUUGCCGGGUAACGGAGAAUUAGGGUUUGUUUCCGGAGAGAAUGCCUUAAAAACGGCUUUCACCUCCCAGGAAGGCAGCCGGCGCGAAAAUUUCCCCCUUUCAGUUUGAGGAGGGAGGGACGUGAAAUGACAAGUUUUGUUUUUUAUAGAAUAAAACCUUGGAAUGGUUUAAUUACAAAUCCCUUAAAGAUAAUCAAUGAGAGGGCAAGUUUGGGGCCAGCAGCCGCGGUAAUUCCAGCUUUCAUACUGCCUUGAAUUGCUGUUGCGGUUAAAAAGUUCGGAGUUGCAAGUGUAUGGAAAGAUGUGGUUCAUUUUAUUAAUGAUACUUCAUCUACCAUAAAGUGUGUAUAUAUACUCUAUAUACACCAGUUACUUUGAGUAAAUCAGAGUGCUUAGAACAAGCGUAUUGCUUGAAUGGUUGUGCAUGGAAUAACAAUAUGAUACAUUAGUAUUUGUUUUGUUGGUUUUAAUAUUAAUGAAUGGUUAAAAGGAACAAACGGGGGUAAAAGUAUCAUAAGGCGAGAGGUAAAUUCGUGGACCCUUNAAG